This 74-nucleotide transfer RNA is filed under the name Chitiniphilus eburneus. Its description in RNAcentral is "Chitiniphilus sp. HX-2-15 tRNA-Phe". It matches the Rfam family "tRNA". Rfam says of the family: Transfer RNA (tRNA) molecules are approximately 80 nucleotides in length. Their secondary structure includes four short double-helical elements and three loops (D, anti-codon, and T loops). The record is from RNAcentral. Lineage: Bacteria; Pseudomonadati; Pseudomonadota; Betaproteobacteria; Neisseriales; Chitinibacteraceae.
CCUUCGGAAGCUCAAUGGGUAGAGCAACGGCCAAAAGCCGUGUGUCGCGGGUUCGACUCCCGCCCGAAACACCU